CUGGCAUAAUACUGAAAUCUAAAUAAUCUGAAUAGCUAACUAUAGUAUCUGAAAAGCCUCUAAACUCAAUACCGUGAGUUGAUGGGACAGGCCCCCAACUAACUCUACUAACUACUGAGAUAAAGACAUGAAGUAAUAUAAUCUAUCCUCAAAUGAUGAGGACUCACCACUGCUACUGUACUGCUGAUGAUCUGAGGGACUAGGUGCA
This 208-nucleotide long non-coding RNA is filed under the name Capsicum annuum. RNAcentral describes it as "long non-coding RNA (CANN_LNC010160)". Lineage: Eukaryota; Viridiplantae; Streptophyta; Magnoliopsida; Solanales; Solanaceae. The record is from RNAcentral.